AAAUAAUGUAAACCAAAACAUUAUUUCUGAGGCUUUACGAAUUCCCAUUGUUCUCGCUCCAAAAGUCACCUCACCUCCUCUUCAGGUCUACACACAAUGACCUCCCCCCAAUACUUAUGUUAACCCAAACAAUAUUUCUCAUGAUGAUGUGGGUACACAAGCAAAUCCAAGUGACUCAUCUCCUGUUCCAACACUAUCCUCCAGUCCUCCGAAAAAGGUAUUUG
This 224-nucleotide unclassified non-coding RNA is filed under the name Hevea brasiliensis (rubber tree). The record is from RNAcentral. Lineage: Eukaryota; Viridiplantae; Streptophyta; Magnoliopsida; Malpighiales; Euphorbiaceae.